Molecule: ribosomal RNA, 301 nt
Filed under: uncultured bacterium
Lineage: Bacteria
Description: partial 16S ribosomal RNA
Rfam family: Bacterial small subunit ribosomal RNA
Source: RNAcentral
CAGCCGCCACGGUAAAACCGAGGGUGCAAGCGUUAAUCGGAAUUACUGGGCGUAAAGCGCGCGUAGGUGGUUUGUUAAGUUGGAUGUGAAAUCCCCGGGCUCAACCUGGGAACUGCAUCCAAAACUGGCAAGCUAGAGUAUGGUAGAGGGUGGUGGAAUUUCCUGUGUAGCGGUGAAAUGCGUAGAUAUAGGAAGGAACACCAGUGGCGAAGGCGACCACCUGGACUGAUACUGACACUGAGGUGCGAAAGCGUGGGGAGCAAACAGGAUUAGAUACCCCGGUAGUCCCUGUCUCUUAUAC